UGCAUGUCUAAGUAUAAGCAAUUAUACCGCGAAACUGCGAAUGGCUCAUUAUAUAAGUUAUCGUUUAUUUGAUAAUACUUUACUACUUGGAUAACCGUGGUAAUUCUAGAGCUAAUACAUGCUAAAAACCCCGACUUCAGGAAGGGGUGUAUUUAUUAGAUAAAAAACCAACGCCCUUCGGGGCUCCUUGGUGAAUCAUAAUAACUUAACGAAUCGCAUGGCCUUGCGCCGGCGAUGGUUCAUUCAAAUUUCUGCCCUAUCAACUUUCGAUGGUAGGAUAGUGGCCUACCAUGGUGGCAACGGGUAACGGGGAAUUAGGGUUCGAUUCCGGAGAGGGAGCCUGAGAAACGGCUACCACAUCCAAGGUAGGCAGCAGGCGCGCAAAUUACCCACUCCUGACUCGGGGAGGUAGUGACGAAAAAUAACAAUACGGGACUCAUUCGAGGCCCCGUAAUUGGAAUGAGUACACUUUAAAUCCUUUAACGAGGAUCCAUUGGAGGGCAAGUCUGGUGCCAGCAGC
This 520-nucleotide ribosomal RNA is filed under the name uncultured fungus. RNAcentral describes it as "SSU rRNA". It matches the Rfam family "Eukaryotic small subunit ribosomal RNA", at positions 52 to 574 of the family's 1831-position model. The record is from RNAcentral. Lineage: Eukaryota; Fungi.